AUUCUACUCACCUCACUGUAAAGGCUGGGGACUGAAAGACAUCCACUGGUCGAGGCAAGUAGAGAAUCAGCUAAUGUAAUUGUUAUAGCUGCCUCUUUGUGCACAGCAGCUAUGACGGUAUACACCUGCUGGGAAUCUGCCCAAAUAUUAAAUCAUUUUAGUUUAUACAAAUAUAUUACUUUAGACUGAUAAUUGUUAGCUCUGGUGCAACUUUCUGGUGUUUCUGUAAGCCUUUACUGAACACAUUUUAAAAUGCGUUACUUCCAUAGAGCUGUAACCACUAUUUAUGCAUUAUUAUUCCAACACCUUACUGUCUUUUUGUUGUAGAAAUUCUGUGGUAAUCCCAAUCAGUGGAAGAUUUCCAGGACUGUUUCAUCAUCAGUGUUGUCUUUAAAACUAAUUAUUUUGGUUUGAAAUCAUUUUUUGUAUUUGUUUUUAAAAUUGCAACUUCUACAGAAUACAUUAUCUUAACAGUGUUUUAUAGUAGGAAGAAGUGUGCGAUUUUGAAAAUGGCAAUGGCAAAGCUAUUGAUAGAAAAGGACUGAUUACUGUCUGCAGCCUGAAUCAAUAGUCCAUGCUCAGUUAUAAUGAGGCCCAAGUGCAACCCACUGUAAGGCCAGGGUGAAAUGUGAUUUCAAUGUCAGAGAAAACAACAGAAAGAGAAAAGGUUUUCCUCCUCGGUUUUGUGUACUGCAGAGACUGAGAUCUGAAAGUGGAAGAAAAUUUUGUGUGUGUUGACUCCUUCCUUUGAUCUGUCCCCAUUUAACUUCCAGACUUGCUUUUCCAUACAGGAAAAGAGCAAGUCCCCAGGGGCAGCAGGGUGGCUGUGGCGGUGCAAUUGCUCUGCAUUCCUCAUGGAUUGGAGAGACUCAGACUCUGGGCUGUGACUGUGAGAAAAUAGGAGCAAACAGUGGUGGUUCCUUGUCUGUAUGCCUCAUUUAAUUCCUUAUUUGUAAGGCCAGGCACACUGUGCUUUGCCUGCAGAGCCAUGUGGCAUGGUGCAUGGGACAUUAACCUUCGUGAUGGGAACGCUAUCAAGUGCCCAAACUGCACUAAAUCCACCACCAGUUGAUGCAAAUGCCUAUGCGAAUCAUGAGCUCUGGGACAGAAUCUGCUCUGGAGAGCCAGCUUAGAGCAUUGGUGUCAUGGGUUGGCACAAGAUCAGUGUUCAGAGAAGUGAGAGAAUUGAAAAUAUCUCCUUAGUUUUAUAUGAACCUGAUGCCUUGUAGGUUACAAAGGACAAGUAGCCAGUUGGUGGUGAUGCUAGCUCUGAAUUUGACUCCAUAUGUUUGAAGCUAAAAUAAGUGUUUUAUAACAAGCCUCAUCCAUUCCUACUAGUGCGUGACCCUAUCAGAGCUGCAUCUUAGACAUAAAUCCUUUUGGAUUCUUUGCCAUCUAAGCCAGGUAUGUUACUGUUCCCCCCACAUCAUUUCCUGAGUGGUUGGUACUGAAUUAAAGACUUGAUUCACAAGGAUGGGAAAAGAAUAGAUGACUGUAGCAGACAUAAUGUUUUUAAGCACAAAUUAGUAACUGGCAUGCCCAAGAGUUUAUAGGAAGUAACUGUUUAUAGUGAUGAAAUAAAUUUGUAUGGUCUCCAAAGCUUUGGCAGAACCAAGCCCCGAAGUCCCUCUGUGUGAAUUUCCCUGACUUGUGUUUGAUUUAGAUUGUAUCUUUCAUUUAAAUAUUACCAGAGGCAAAGAAUUUGUGAGCAAUCCAGGGAAAUUGUCCAUGUGAUUGUUCCCCAUCACUGCUGGAAACUCUUGCUUCUGCUCUGGACAGGCCUGCUAAUGACAGCUUCCAGCUAUGGCAUCUCUCCUGCCUUUGAUCAAACUUUUACUCCCAACCAGAAAUCAGCUCAGCCCACAGCCAUCUCUUUAAGAGACUGAAGAGGCUGAAAUCUUGCAGUCUGUCACCGAAAGGCAUCCUAUUCCAGUUUGUAAGCACUAGUAUGCACAUUUUCCUUAUUUCAUCUGCACCUUAUCUGUUGGUCAGUGCUGCCUGUGCCAGACAUGAACAUGGUAUUCCAGCUGUAAUAACACUAAACCCAAAUAUAGAUGUGAUGCAGCUUAUUUUGCUGAUGCCACAUUUAAGAAACUGUUUAUCCCUCUCAGAUACUAUGAAGUCUGGAAACUCAGGUUCAGCUGUGACUCUCUUGCCAUUUUCAGUAUCUCCGACCCUUCGCCUCUAUGCAUGUAUCCCCUAUUCUAAAACUAUGCUUUAUUAUUCCUACAGUAUGAUUUUUAACUUGGGUCAUACUCAAACGUGCAUUGCUUACCUGAAUGCAAUUUUGCCAACUGGUUUGCUCCACACCAGUGGCAUGUUCUUUAAUUUCCACCUCUUCUCUCUGUCUUGGUGCCAUCUGCAGAACUCAGUAGUAAUCCUUUUGUUUGUUGAUAGUCCUUGAUAAAAUACCAGUUGGCGCAGAUAAUGAACUGACUGAGCAGGGUUACAGGAACAUUUUUUUUCUGUUAAAAAAUUGUUGAUAAGUAGAUGCCACCUUGAAAAUUCACACCGUGCACUAGCCGUCCUAGGGUGGGAAAGGGCUAGAGGGAAAAUAAACAACUUGGACCAAACCCAGCUGAUUACCAGGGUCUGCCAGCAGGCAAAGGGAAGGGGUGCAAGGACUGAGGGAUGGAUAAAUGAUUACAGGGGGACACUGAGCCAAACAUCCCAGGGUGACACCCAGGGAGCAGUACCUGCUGCCUGCGGUGCCCAAGCACCCUUCCAGGAACACUGUGGUGCUGUGUCAGGGAUGAUUAGUUCAACAACCAUUUUAUAUGUGUCACGUUGAGUUUAUAUUGUUCCGGUUUCUUAAUCAACAUGUCCUGCUGCAACAAGUUGAAGGCCUUAAAGAAGUCCAGGAGUUUUACAUCAGCUUCGUUGCAUGUAUCACUCGAUCUUGUAAUCUCCUUGGUGAAAGAUAAGUCAGUUUGAAAGGGUCUUUUCCCAUAAACUCCUGUUGAUUGGCAUUAAUUAUAUCUCCCUCCUUUAAUUCUUUGUUAAUCUAGAUCCGUAUGAGUCAUUCCAUUUUACUGCUGGGACUCGUGUCAGGAGACAAGCCUAUAAAUACUUAGAUCUUUCUCUCUACCUUUUCCAAAAUCUUUCCCAACAUCUGCUUUCCUUCAGAGCUUCCCCACUGCCCAGAAAGUUACUGGGGAUCACACACAGCUGUCGUACUGUGCUUGUGCAUUGAAAACAUCCUUGCUAAUCAGCCUGACAAAGCCAACUGCAUUAUAUAUGCUACUGAAAAAAGGGGUUUUGAACAAUGGAUUAGCUCUACAAUCAUAAACUACCUUUGCAAAAUCAUGGGAAGAAAUAUUUCAUUUGCAUGUUUAUUUUGAGUUUCUGUAUCACAACCUACACAACUAUGCCUACAAAGGGCCUUUUUUAAAUGCAUGGAUGAUUUAAAAAAGGGGAUUUAUAGAAGACCAGCCAGAGGGAUGCACAGCAGAGAUGGGUUUCAUGUACCGUUCCCAGCAUGGUGCUACACAGCACCUUUGUUCUAGUGGUAAACUACCUUUUGCCUUCCAUUCUCCUCAAACAAUGACUGAAACCCAGGAAAUGGACAAACAGUGCCAUACUUAUUACUGUUACUGUAGAUGUGUACUAAUAUAAUCACUUUUUGUUUCUUUGUUUCAGAACAUCAAGAAGAUGACAAAUAGAUAACAUAUUUGGGCUUGUUUAAUAGCAAAAGAUGAGUUGCUGGUUUGAAAAUAUUUGCUAGAAGGUCAAUAGCUUCAAAUUGAAUUGGAAAAAUUCCAGAUUAAUGCUGUUGCCCCAGUACUGAUUAGAAUUCACAUUGCAUAAGACCAUAAAAACACUUUUGGAGAGGGAGAGGAUGUUUUAUCAUCUAAGCAUAGGGCAGUUUUAAAGAUGUGUAGAAGAACAAAAUUAAUUAGGGGUAUUUUAAUAUUAUCAAAAUAAAAAGAAGGAAUUAGGACUGUAUUAAUUUAAUUUCAAACACAUAGGUAAUAACCUCAACUCCUGGGUUCGUCUGCAUCUGUGUUUAUCUGAACAGGUAUCUGAAAUUGCUGGUGAGCACCAGGUUCCUCCUGGCUGUCUCUGCCUGAGCCUUGCUGGCACUCCCUGCAGGGAGGACAUGCACCCAGCUCAGGCUUUGGAGGAACAGGACGUCUUCAUCCCAAUAUAAAACGCCAUUGGAGUGGCCACUGCUGGGAGCAGAGCAGGCAGGCAGCCAUAGGAACCCACUUGCCUGGGUUGUGCUGCACUGGGGGCUCUGCACCCCUGCCCUGCCCUCACUGAAUACCCACUUUGCCAUCUACCUUCUCGCUGGCCUCUUUACUACUCUGGCAACAGAGGGAUAAGUCUUGCUGGCAGGAUAUCCCCUUGCAAAUACAGAAUCUCAUUGAGCUAAUCAAUAAUUCCUGUCAUUGCCUAAAGUUGCUAAAAGUAACAUUCCCUUCCCCAUUUACAGGAGAUGCUGAAUCUGGAGUUGGUACUAUUAACACCUUUAACAUUUCUCCCAUUAAGAUUUUCUGCCCAUAAAAGGCUUUUCAUAGUUUC
This is a long non-coding RNA of Pezoporus occidentalis (night parrot), 4524 nucleotides long. RefSeq lists it as uncharacterized. The transcript has 2 exons. The record is from RefSeq and is a predicted model, not a curated record. NCBI's taxonomy places the organism in Eukaryota, Metazoa, Chordata, Aves, Psittaciformes, Psittacidae.